GACGAACGCUGGCGGCGUGCUUAACACAUGCAAGUCGAACGGAAAGGCCCUGCUUUUGUGGGGUGCUCGAGUGGCGAACGGGUGAGUAACACGUGAGUAACCUGCCCUUGACUUUGGGAUAACUUCAGGAAACUGGGGCUAAUACCGGAUAGGAGCUCCUGCUGCAUGGUGGGGGUUGGAAAGUUUCGGCGGUUGGGGAUGGACUCGCGGCUUAUCAGCUUGUUGGUGGGGUAGUGGCUUACCAAGGCUUUGACGGGUAGCCGGCCUGAGAGGGUGACCGGCCACAUUGGGACUGAGAUACGGCCCUGACUCCUACGGGAGGCAGCAGUGGGGAAGAUUGCACAAUGGGCGGAAGCCUGAUGCAGCAACGCCGCGUGCGGGAUGACGGCCUUCGGGUUGUAAACCGCUUUCGCCUGUGACGAAGCGUGAGUGACGGUAAUGGGUAAAGAAGCACCGGCUAACUACGUG
Molecule: ribosomal RNA, 468 nt
Filed under: uncultured bacterium
Lineage: Bacteria
Description: partial 16S ribosomal RNA
Rfam family: Bacterial small subunit ribosomal RNA
Source: RNAcentral